UUUCUGUUGAUAUAGUGCUU
This 20-nucleotide non-coding RNA is filed under the name Rattus norvegicus (Norway rat). Lineage: Eukaryota; Metazoa; Chordata; Mammalia; Rodentia; Muridae. The record is from RNAcentral.